This 428-nucleotide ribosomal RNA is filed under the name uncultured bacterium. Its description in RNAcentral is "bacterial SSU rRNA". It matches the Rfam family "Bacterial small subunit ribosomal RNA", at positions 917 to 1344 of the family's 1533-position model. The record is from RNAcentral.
GGGCCCGCACAAGCGGUGGAUUAUGUGGUUUAAUUCGAAGCAACGCGCAGAACCUUACCUGGGCUUGAAAUCCUGAGAACCUGUCCUAAAAGACGGGGUGCCCUUCGGGGAAUUCAGUGACAGGCGCUGCAUGGCUGUCGUCAGCUCGUGUCGUGAGAUGUUGGGUUAAGUCUCGCAACGAGCGCAACCCCUAUCCUUAGUUGCCAGCAUUAAGUUGGGCACUCUAGGGAGACUGCCUGGGCUAACCAGGAGGAAGGUGGGGAUGACGUCAAGUCCUCAUGGCCCUUAUGUCCAGGGCUACACACGUAAUACAAUGGUGCAUACAAAGGGAAGCGACCCUGCGAAGGUGAGCAAAUCUCAAAAAGUGCAUCUCAGUCCGGAUUGGAGUCUGCAACUCGACUCCAUGAAGUUGGAAUCGCUAGUAAUCG